AGCUUCAUGGUGCUUACCCCAGGCUGUAUUCUUACACUGACUGUACAGAAAGAGGAGGCAGAGUAAAUCCACCCAAAUAUACCCCUAGGCCCUUUGCCUGAUCUGUACUGUGAAUGGGAGAACAUGG
This is a small nucleolar RNA of Suricata suricatta (meerkat), 127 nucleotides long. Lineage: Eukaryota; Metazoa; Chordata; Mammalia; Carnivora; Herpestidae. The record is from Ensembl.